Molecule: long non-coding RNA, 4498 nt
Filed under: Panax ginseng (ginseng)
Lineage: Eukaryota; Viridiplantae; Streptophyta; Magnoliopsida; Apiales; Araliaceae
Description: long non-coding RNA (PGIN_LNC015725)
Source: RNAcentral
AUGACAAUACGUGAGUUUGGAGAGUUUUACUUAAAAUAAUUAUCUCAUAAUUCAAAGUACUCUGCGCUCUGCAUAGUUCAGCGCUUGCUCGCCGAGUUCUUCUGCGGCUUCCGCCGUCGCCGUGGUUCUCUUGUCCGCCGUCAAUUUUUCAAAUCUACUUGUUUAUUUUGAAAUGUUUGGUAAGAUCCCCAAAUCAUGUACCCUAAUUUUUUUGAAAUUGAUAAUACUUAGAUUUAGUUAAUCACGUUUUCUCCUCUACAUAAAAUUCAUUCGUUUAUUCUCUUUGUUGUUUUUUGGAAGUGAAUUUCGACAUUGUCUUUGCCUUUUAGUUUUUUUUUUCUUGUAUGAAUUUGGGAAUUUGUAGUGACGGAAAAUGAAAGGGGUUGGCAUGGUAAGUUUUUUCUGUUUAGCACUAUAGACUGAAAGGGGCAUUAAAUAGGGACACCUAUAUGAGAUUGACCUCAGAAUGCCCUACCCUCUGCAAACAUAUAGUUUGGUCCUGCAGUAGAUUUUAACUUCUUUAAAAGUAUACUUAUUCAAUUGAAAUAUAAGUAAUUUUGCAUGAAAGGUGCUAAAGAAAAAAGAUGCCAUGUCUGGACUAUGGCACCUGAAUAAUAGAAUCCAUUGAGGAAAGAUAAUACAAAAAAUGGAUUAGUCAAGCAGCAAUCUGGACUAGGAUUGGUCAGAGGUAAACUAAGGAAAUAUGUUUUCUUAUAAAUGUUUAUUUUAUAGUAUUACUUGGUUAACAGUUAAAUGUAUUCAGAAUUCAAUAAAUAUAUCAGCCACAAAGUUCAUUGUCAUUAAGAAAAUAAUAAGAUGCUCACCAAAAACACAGAUUAUAGUUGUGACAGAUACUCCAAUGAAACCUUCCCAUGUCUUCUUUGAAGAUAACUUGAUCAAAGGAGUUUUUCCAAAGAAAUAAGCAUCAAUUUCAUUGAUUACAAUUAGUGAUGCUGGAAGAAGGAACCUGCAUCAUAGCUAAACUGUUUGAAGUUCUUUCCUCAUCUUGUACUUGAAUGUCAAAGUAGCAUGCUCAAAAUUGUAGUAAGUACUUAAUGUAUAAUACUUUUAGAUACCAACUCAGGAAAAAGAUAAAAUCAACGAGUUAAAAUUCCAAAUAAUUCUUAUAAUUUAUAAUUUAUAAUUGCAACUACUCGUGGAUGAUGGAAGGAAUAAGAUUUGACAAAUAAUUCUUCACUUGUGAGCCAAAAAUUUUUGUUAAACAUAAUUCAUAGUAAUGUGUGAUGCAUUAAAUAGAGCAAAAGAAACAUAAACCAGAGGAACAUUAUAUAGGAGAGGAUUUACAUAUCAUAGUACAAGUCAUUCCUUGAGCAAUAUGCAACAGAUGUCAUGUCUCAUUAGGCAACAGUGGCCUUUUCUUCAACUGCAAUCACACAAAUUGAACUAGUUGGUUCCCCUAAGCUUCACAAUUCAUUGUUACUUGUACUGUGAUCACUCUUUAUAGGGCACUUAGAGAUUUAUGUAAUUGAAUCUGAUUCAAGUAAGAUAAAUUAGAGUUUCUAUAUCUUUUUAGUAUUAAUUGCAAAGAAAAUAUUAGGCAACUAUUUUUUCAGAAGCAGAAUUUGAGUUCCAAAAAUGCAUUAUCAAUUUUUUGUCAUUAAAAAGUAGAAUACUGAGAAAGACAUAGUAUAGUUUGUGUAAUAACCCAUAUUUUUUUUUUAAAAUUUAAAUAUUAAUUAAUUUUAUUGUAUACAAUUGUAUUUAAAUUGGAAAAGGUAAAUGAUUUUUGUUUCCCUCUUUUCUUCCUUGUUUUGUUUGAAAAAUUAAAUUCUUUUAGUUGGUAAUUAAAUAACUGAUUAAAUUAAAAUUGAGAAAGAUAAUUCCUUUUGUUAAAGUCUUGUGGUAAAAUCAUUCGGAGCGGGAAGCUACUUGGGAGAUAGAGGAGUCUAUUCGAGCGGAGUAUCCGCAUCUUUUGAUAAUUAGGUACGUUCAUUCUUUUGAUUCCGGGUACGGAAUCCUUUUUAAGGGGUAGGUAAUGUAAUACCUGGUAAAAAUAAAAUAAUAAUAAUAAUAAAUAAAUAAAAUAAUUAUAUAAUAUUUAAAUCAAUAUUUUAAUUGGGCUUUCUUAUGUUUGGGUAAAACAUUGUUUUUAAAUUAUGUGGACUAAAAUAAGUAAGAGAUUUCAUCAAUUUGGGCCUUAAAAUCAAUUGGGUUUAAUUUAAAUGUGGGUUAUAUUAAAUCAUAUUAAAAUUAGGAGAAUUAAUAAAUAAAACCUAACCUACUUCAGUAUUACACCCAAUGCAAAAAGGGAAAAGAACGGAGAACAGAGGCGGCACUAAGUAUCCGAACUUGAGAGAAAAAAAACCAAAGGCUCAAGUAAUUCACAUAUGUAGAGAGAAGGAAGUUGACAAAUUCAUACUGUAUUACUGUGAGGAGAUAAGAGGUAAAUAAUUAUUUGCUUUGACUUAGUUGUUAUUCAUGUAAGUCUUUGUUAUAAAUUGUUUAUUAAUCUAUUGAUGGAAACUACCCAUGCUAAUAGAUAAUUAAUUGAUUGAUAGUAUACAUGAGCAAUUUAGUACAGGCAUGAUAUCUAUAUAUAAGAAUAGAUUGCCAAAUUCAAAAAGUGGGUUUGAAAAAAAAAAUAAAAAAUAAAAAAAUCAGUAUCGUGAAUAAUAUAGCAAUGGACUCAGUUAAGAAAAAGUGUUGAUAAUGAUUUUGUAAUUGUCUUGGUUCUUAUGUUAACGGAAUGAAACUGCAAAAAAAAAAAAAUAUUAUGAAUAAUGGCUACUGUUAUGUAAAUGUGUUGUAUAGAGUGUAUAUAUAUUAGAGAUUCUGAUUUGUCAAAAAUAAAAGAGUAAUGAUUAAAGAUCAAUUAUUAUUUAAUUUGGAUUUGUAUCAUAAAACUGAUGUAAAUUAGGAAAUAAAUUCAUGUUAUUAUAAAUUAUAAUUAUUAAGUAACUUAUAUUUAUUAUUAAUUUGUGUAAUUAGUUCGAACGAAGGGGAUUUAAAGAGUUAUAUUUGGAAUAUAAAUUUGGAGUAUUAAUAAUUGAUAUAAGGCGAUGACUAAAGGCAUAUUAAAUAGAUUAUGAAUUAUUUUGGAAUUAUUAGUUUGGAUUGUUUUUAAUUUGAGGUGAAUAUGUUUAGGUUGCAAAUAACGUUUUGUAUUUGAUAUCGUUGGCAUUUGAGGGUAAGAUUUUAUGGAGUGUGCUAUGUUUGGAAGUAUCAGGUAUGGAUUCCGUACUCUUUCAGCGAUACUCUUAUUAAAUUUGAUUUGUUCGUUUGUUUCCUUAUUUCGAAUUAUGUUAUGAUUUCACAUAAUUAUUUCAUGUGAAAUAAAUAUAUUAGUUUCAUUUUGGAGUUGAUACACAUGACUCGUAUUUGUACUCUUUGAAUUAGGAUAUCAUGUUUAGUAUUUAUUUUUGAUAAUUAUAAAGUGGUACAUGUUGCUACCUUUUUUUUGAGAUCUUGUGACUAUAAUUUGAUUUGGUUCAACAUGUACAUAUAGAACCUUUUUGUUGGUAUUAUGUCGCAUGUGUUGUGACAUAGUAUUUUUGUUAGAAUAUACCGUAGGAUAUACCCGAGCUAUAACCACCUGUGGGGGUACCACAGGCAUGUCGUCUUGGCACGAGAGGCAUGACACUUUCCGUGGCGGUGUGAUUAGUCCACGGCGUCUCCGUUUGGGCUCCGGAGGAAGUGGGCCAUUUGGUGUUUUGUUGUGGGAGGCGUAUGGGUUAACCCUAGUUUUCUGUUCUGCGGAUUUGUGAUGUUGUGCCAAACACACCUAUCCGAUUUGCAUACAUUUGGAUUCGCGGUCCAAUGUGUGAUUUGCCUGUGUGGCAUUGUUUUGAUGUGCCUGUGUGGCAUUAUUUUGGUUGCCUAUGUGGCAUCAUUUGAUUUUUCUGUGUGGCAUUAGUUUGACUUGCCUAUGUGGCAAUGUAUAUUUCUGAGCUCAUUCGGUAUGAAAUAACUCCAGCCAUUUGUUUCAGCCUAUUAUUUUAUUGUAUUAGUUUUGUUGGUUUCUGUUCAGUUCAAUUCAUUGAGUUAGUUACUUUAGUUCCUUAUUUUUUUAUUCUUCUAUUGGUUUCGUCAAUUCUAUUGAUUCAGAUAUAUUCCAUUUGAAUAUUUAGAGAUUAUAUUUUCGUCAGUAUUUACACUUGAGGCUUUGUUCAGUAUUUUGUCUCAGUUGUUUUCGUAUAUCAGUUAUACAUCUUUGUAUUAUCUAUAUCCGUACUGGGCAAUUGGCUCAUGCUGUGUUUUUCUUCCGGCAGGUUUGCAGGGGUGAUUCAGGACUAGUGUGAUGAGAGUGCUACCUUUGACCAUCUAGGUUGAUUAAGUUUUUAGUUUUGAUUAUUUUCACUCUAGUUGGAGAAUUGUAUUUAGUACUUUAUUAAUUGAUCACCACUAUUAAUAUUUUGAGGUUGUUAGUGCUCUGUUUAUUUAUUUUAAAGUUUUUUGUGCUUUGCACGUGACCUCCCUUUCUUUUUCGGGAAGGGGGUGUUACAGUUUGCACUAGAAACGGUCUGCUUUUUGCCAUUAC